This 245-nucleotide ribosomal RNA is filed under the name uncultured Lactobacillus sp. RNAcentral's name for it is "partial 16S ribosomal RNA". It matches the Rfam family "Bacterial small subunit ribosomal RNA", at positions 116 to 354 of the family's 1533-position model. Lineage: Bacteria; Bacillati; Bacillota; Bacilli; Lactobacillales; Lactobacillaceae. The record is from RNAcentral.
CGUGGGUAACCUGCCCAAGAGAUCGGGAUAACACCUGGAAACAGAUGCUAAUACCGGAUAACAACAGAUGAUGCCUAUCAACUGUUUAAAAGAUGGUUCUGCUAUCACUCUUGGAUGGACCUGCGGUGCAUUAGCUAGUUGGUAGGGUAACGGCCUACCAAGGCGAUGAUGCAUAGCCGAGUUGAGAGACUGAUCGGCCACAUUGGGACUGAGACACGGCCCAAACUCCACGGGAGGCAGCAGGU